UGACUGUAGACAACGACUGCCGCCAGUCAUAGCCAUGCAAGUCCUGAACGGUAGCAGCACGAUGCACAGUGGCGCAAGGGUGAGGAACGCGUGAGUAACCUGCCCUUAAGUUGGGAAUAGCUCCUGGAAACGGGAAUUAAUACCGAAUGUGAUCGUCGGGAGACAUCUUCUGAUGAUUAAAGGCCGCAAGGUCGCUUAAGGAGGGGCUCGCGUUCCAUUAGCUAGUUGGUGAGGUAACGGCCCACCAAGGCGAAGAUGGGUAGCUGGUCUGAGAGGACGAUCAGCCACACUGGGACUGAGAUACUGCCCAGACUCCUACGGGAGGCUGCAGUCGAGAAUUUUGGGCAAUGGGGGCAACCCUGACCCAGCAAUGCCGCGUGCGGGAUGAAGGUCUUCGGAUUGUAAACCGCUGUCAAGAGGGACGGAUACAAUUGACGGUACCUCUGGAGGAAGUCACGGCUAACUACGUGCCAGCAGCCGCGGUAAUACGUAGGUGACAAGCGUUGUUCGGAUUCAUUGGGCGUAAAGGGUCCGCAGGUGGUUUGAUAAGUCUGACGUGAAAUACCGGAGCUCAACUCCGGAACUGCGUUGGGGACUGUUGAACUGGAGUAUCGGAGAGGAAAUUGGAAUUCCAGGUGUAGCGGUGGAAUGCGUAGAUAUCUGGAAGAACAUCGACAGCGAAGGCAGAUUUCUGGACGAUAACUGACACUCAGGGACGAAAGCAUGGGGAGCAAACAGGAUUAGAUACCCUGGUAGUCCAUGCCCUAAACGUUGUAAACUUGAUAUGGGAAGAUUUACUCCAUUCCGUGUCGUCGCUA
RNAcentral lists this ribosomal RNA (818 nucleotides) under uncultured bacterium. Its description in RNAcentral is "bacterial SSU rRNA". It matches the Rfam family "Bacterial small subunit ribosomal RNA", at positions 20 to 854 of the family's 1533-position model. The record is from RNAcentral.